GUGCCAGCAGCCGCGGUAAUACGAAGGGUGCAAGCGUUACUCGGAAUCACUGGGCGUAAAGCGCGCGCAGGCGGCCUUUUAAGUUGGAUGUGAAAGCCUAUGGCUCAACCAUAGAACUGCAUCCAAAACUAUCAGGCUAGAGUGUGGGAGAGGAAGAUGGAAUUAGUUGUGUAGGGGUAAAAUCCGUAGAGAUAACUAGGAAUACCAAAAGCGAAGGCAAUCUUCUGGAACAUUACUGACGCUGAGGCGCGAAAGCGUGGGGAGCAAACAGGAUUAGAUACCCUGGUAGUCCACGCCCUAAACGAUGAAUGUUAGUCGUCGGGUAGCUAGUCUAUUCGGUGAUGCAGCUAACGCAUUAAACAUUCCGCCUGGGGAGUACGGUCGCAAGAUUAAAACUCAAAGGAAUAGACGGGGACCCGCACAAGUGGUGGAGCAUGUGGUUUAAUUCGAAGAUACGCGAAGAACCUUACCUAGCCUUGACAUAUUUUAGAACACUUUAGAGAUAGAGUGGUGCCUUCGGGAGCUAAUAUACAGGUGCUGCACGGCUGUCGUCAGCUCGUGUCGUGAGAUGUUGGGUUAAGUCCCGCAACGAGCGCAACCCUCGUCACUAGUUACUAACGGUUCGGCCGAGGACUCUAGUGAGACUGCCUUCGCAAGGAGGAGGAAGGUGAGGACGACGUCAAGUCAUCAGGGCCCUUACGGCUAGGGCAACACACGUGCUACAAUGGCCAGGACAAUGAGAAGCGAUACCGCGAGGUGGAGCAAAUCUAUAAACCUGGUCUCAGUUCGGAUUGUAGUCUGCAACUCGACUACAUGAAGCUGGAAUCACUAGUAAUCGUAGAUCAGCUAUGCUACGGUGAAUACGUUCCCGGGUCUUGUACUCACCGCCCGUCACACCAUGGGAGUUGAUUUCACCCGAAGCGGGGAAGCUAAACUGGCUACCCUCCACGGUGGAAUCAGCGACUGGGGUGAAGUCGUAACAAGGUAGC
Molecule: ribosomal RNA, 989 nt
Filed under: uncultured bacterium
Lineage: Bacteria
Description: bacterial SSU rRNA
Rfam family: Bacterial small subunit ribosomal RNA
Source: RNAcentral